RNAcentral lists this small nuclear RNA (159 nucleotides) under Oryza longistaminata (longstamen rice). RNAcentral describes it as "snRNA U2". It matches the Rfam family "U2 spliceosomal RNA". From Rfam's summary of the family: U2 is a small nuclear RNA (snRNA) component of the spliceosome (involved in pre-mRNA splicing). The record is from RNAcentral. Lineage: Eukaryota; Viridiplantae; Streptophyta; Magnoliopsida; Poales; Poaceae.
AUACCUUUCUCGGCCUUUUGGCUAGAAAGGUAUGUGGACCAUGUGUCCACGGAUAUUAAAUUAAUAUUUUAUGGAGGAGGGCCCACCACGGUAGCUCGCUACUAGGGCCCUCACGUGUCGCCCUGGCUUUGCACUACUGCCUUGCCCAGCGCACUCCCA